RNAcentral lists this long non-coding RNA (1110 nucleotides) under Neogobius melanostomus (round goby). RNAcentral's name for it is "lncRNA (ENSNMLG00000000268.1)". Lineage: Eukaryota; Metazoa; Chordata; Actinopteri; Gobiiformes; Gobiidae. The record is from RNAcentral.
GGCUUAAAGCCCUAAACUGUGGAUGUUCAGUGUUUGCUUAUGACAGGCUUGCUCUUGCCAAAGUCCACACUCGUGCCAUGUGCUGAGCUCCAGCAGGUGUAGCUCAUAUCAGUGUGUCUGUCCCACAGGCUGAAGACACAUCCAAGAGGGACAACAAGCCACUGCUGCGAGGAGCGUCCUCCAGCCAGCAGAGCCUGUCCCUGUCCCAGUCAUUGCUGCCGGACGUUCCAGUGGUGACCGGGGUAGAGGAGCAAAGAAGCUUGCCCGGGGACUCUCUGGAGGACAGAGAGGAGCUGGAGUUUCCUCACGACCUGCUGCCCAGUCUAGAUUUCAGCAGUGAGCUCAACAUCUGGGAGUCAUCACUGGGGCCCCUCCCAUCUCUGGAUUCUCCACAGCAAGACUUCCAUACUCCAACUGAGGACACAGUAGCCCCAAAACACCGGAGAAGACCCCACCAGUGGCACAGAAAGAAGAGAAAUCAAAUAUAUUCCCUGCUUCAGAGAUAUUAGCUGAUGUCGCAAACGCUAAAGCUAAUCUGCCAAAAGAAGACAUUGCAACGCUUAAAAAGAAGCUGAGUAUUGACCUUCCUGACCCAAUUGAGAAGGUUGGACCAGUCAAGAGGGAAGAAACUGUGAAAGUGUCCAAAUUAGAAGAGACACAGUUGCCUAUUCAACAAGUGAAGACUGAAGCUCCACCAAAGGUUGACAUCCCAAAAGUCAAAAAUGAAGAAGUCCAGAUCCAACCAGAUCCUCCUCAAGUCAGGGCCCAACCGCACGCAUAGGACCAGAGCAGAAGCCAGAGGAGUCUGUGGAAAAACAUUUGGAUAGCCAACCGCAGAAGGAGCCAGUGGGGGAAAAGGCAGAGGGCCCCGCUGAGCUGCAAUACAGUGGGUGAGUCUGAGCACAAUACACAACAUAACAGAGUUUGGCGGGAAUAAUAACAUUUAUGGCUUUCACAUAAAGAGCUCGAUACUCGUAAUGCAAUGGUAAGAAAAUGAUGUUUUCGAGAGAAAGUGCCAUAAAGCGAGCUAUAGUUUUGGGUGUUAUGAGAUAGUUUAAACUCCUUCCUCAAUAUAAAACGUGCAAAGGUGCAAUACCUUACUAGUAAAAU